CAAUUCGAUGUUGUCUGAGACGUAAUGUCUUAUAUUUUGUUUUUGUUGUUUUAUGUAUGUAUUAACAAAUUACUGUUUUGUUAUUGUAUUGGUAUUGAUUUAAUUAUUUUUAUUAUAGUUUACUUGUACUGUGAGGGGUUUAUUUUUGUUUUGUUAUUUUAAGUUGAUUUGAUUUGUUGUACCUUGUGUAUCAGGGUCUAUUAAUUUUUAUUAUAUAUUUUUAUUUCCCGAUUUUAGAGGAGUUAGUUAUUUAUUUUAGUUACUGUUUCAUCAGUAUUGGAAAUAUUUAUUUAGUGAUGAAAUGUCAUUCGUCUUUAAUGGUAUCUGGUUUUCUAAGAAAUGAAUUUAAUUCACACUUUUUGUUUAAUUUUUUCAUAUUUUGUUGUGGUGUUUGACAUAAUAGUGAGGAUUCUGGGGGAUAAGCUUCAGUUUUUAUCUUUAUAAUCUUUUUUAUUUAAAAGUUUUGUGGGCUUUAUGUUGGCCACCAAUUUGAUUAUGUUAGAAUUUUACUUUUUUCUUUCUUUGGAUUUAUUUUGUUAUUUAAUUUUUUAUUAGGAUGUCUGGUUUAUUUUGUUUUCUACUGUAGUUUUGGUAGAAUUAGUAUAAAUUUUUUUUUGGUUAUUGGGUUGUUUUUUGAUUCUUUAAGAGGAAUUAGGCAAAUACAUUUGGCGUUCGCUUGUUUAACAAAAACAUCUCUUCUUGUGUAAUGUUUUGAGGUACGGCCUGCCCACUGAUUUAUUGAAGGGCCGCGGUAUUUUGACCGUGCAAAGGUAGCAUAAUCAUUAGUUUUUUAAUUGUAAACUGGUAUGAAUGGUUUGACGAGAUGCCAUCUGUCUUUUAUGGAUUAUUUAUUGAAUUUGGGCUUUGGGUAAAAAUACCUAGAUUUUUUUAUGGGACGAGAAGACCCUAUAGAGUUUUAUAUAGAUUUUAUUUUUCUUUGUUUGUUUAUUUCUGUUGAUUUUUCUAUAUUUUGUUGGGGUGAUGGGAAGAUAUGAUUAACUCUUCUUUAUUUUUUAUACUGAUUUGUAUUUAAUUUUGAUCCUUUGUUAUUGAUUGUAAGAUAAAAUUACCUUAGGGAUAACAGCGUAAUCUUUUUUGAGAGUUCUUAUCGACGAAAGGGUUUGCGACCUCGAUGUUGGAUUAGGAUGAAUUUUUGGCGUAGAGGCUUUAUAAAUUAUUGGGUCUGUUCGACCUUUAAAAUCUUACAUGAUCUGAGUUCAGACCGGCGUGAGCCAGGUCGGUUUCUAUCUAUAAUUUUAUUUAAUUUCUUAGUACGAGAGGACCAGAUAUUUUGAAUAAUUUUAUUUAUUAUGACUUUUAUUAAUACUAAUUUGGCAGAUAAGUGCGGUGGAUUUAGAAUCUAUAUAUG
This 1369-nucleotide ribosomal RNA is filed under the name Glyptotermes sp. B TB-2014. Its description in RNAcentral is "16S ribosomal RNA". The stretch from base 889 to 1254 matches the Rfam family "Archaeal large subunit ribosomal RNA", at positions 2150 to 2716 of the family's 2987-position model. Lineage: Eukaryota; Metazoa; Arthropoda; Insecta; Blattodea; Kalotermitidae. The record is from RNAcentral.